UACGUAGGUGGCAAGCGUUAUCCGGAUUUAUUGGGUGUAAAGGGCGUGUAGGCGGGAAAGCAAGUCAGAUGUGAAAACUCAGGGCUCAACCCUGAGCCUGCAUUUGAAACUGUUUUUCUUGAGUGCUGGAGAGGCAAUCAGAAUUCCGUGUGUAGCGGUGAAAUGCGUAGAUAUACGGAGGAACACCAGUGGCGAAGGCGGAUUGCUGGACAGUAACUGACGCUGAGGCGCGAAAGCGUGGGGAGCAAACAGG
RNAcentral lists this ribosomal RNA (253 nucleotides) under uncultured bacterium. Its description in RNAcentral is "partial 16S ribosomal RNA". It matches the Rfam family "Bacterial small subunit ribosomal RNA", at positions 524 to 776 of the family's 1533-position model. The record is from RNAcentral.